This 72-nucleotide transfer RNA is filed under the name Candidatus Pacearchaeota archaeon CG06_land_8_20_14_3_00_35_12. Its description in RNAcentral is "tRNA-Gly". It matches the Rfam family "tRNA". Rfam says of the family: Transfer RNA (tRNA) molecules are approximately 80 nucleotides in length. Their secondary structure includes four short double-helical elements and three loops (D, anti-codon, and T loops). Lineage: Archaea; Nanobdellati. The record is from RNAcentral.
GCGUCAGUAAUCCAAUGGCUAAGAUUCUGCCUUCCCAAGGCAGGUAUCCGGGUUCAACUCCCGGCUGACGCA